CCAUCCAUUGCCCCUAGGACUGUCCUCUGAAGUCAGUAAACAACCUUCUUCAUGUGGAAUGGCCCUCAGGCUGCCAGGCUGGUGCUGAACUUUAGCCUGGUAAUGCAGCCUUAUUUUCCAAAUACUAUGUUCCAGGUUCUUCACUGUCCCACCACACACAAGAGACUGCAACCUCCUCACGGCAAGGGCCCAUGUCUGCUACAUCUUCUGCAUCUCUGGGUAUGUACUUACAAGACCUCGACAAAACACUGACUGGAGAAUAUCACCCCUGACAGCUUGAUUUGCCCAUGAAAUCUACCCAGAGACCCCAAGGGAUCCCAGAUAUUGUCUAGCUGGUUCAGUACGACCGUUUCUAGAUGAGUGAAGAUAUUCCCUAAUAGCAUGACUGGAGCUGCUAUGUGGGUUGGCAACCAUUCAAGGUUGCCCCAUCUGCACCCCCCGGACACGUGAGUUCCUUUUCCUGCUGAAAAGAAGAUGAGCGUGGAGACAAAAGCUCCAAGUCACUCUUUGUGAAUUAUGUGGAAAGAGAACAAUCUUGAAAUAACUUGAAUAGCAAACCUCAGGGUAAUGAGAUCUUUGAAAGCACCAAAACAUAACGUUACAGAAAAAAUAGCUGCAAAGAAAUUCCCCCCCUCAAAAAAAAACCACCCUAUCAUGUCAUAGCACUCAAUCUAAUCUAAUUGUCUCUGCUUUCAGAACAUGGUCAAUUCAGAUCACAUUUCUGUAGUGACUUGAAGUAUUAAUACUGAGCUCAAUGUAUAAUGUUUAUUAAGCAGCAGCAUAUUGAUUUAUCCUUUUUCUCAUAGCUAUAUCAGUGCUUUUCCUAAAUGAGAAAAUACUGUCUUAUGAUAGCUCCCUCAACCUCACUGUCAUUCCUCACUCUAGUAUGGAGUCACCCAAACCAAGGCAUUGCUUACACUGGAAUGACUCCAAAUGGAAUGGUUGGGCAAGUUUGACAAAUAUCCCACUAAAUAUAUUGUCAAACAUGGGUUCUUAACCUUUCGCUCUGUCAUGGACCCUUCUGGCAGCCUGGUGAAACCUCUGGACCCCUCUUAGUGUUAAUGGCUCCACAUGACAGAUGAGGAAACCAAGUCUCAGACAGCUGAUGUGCCUUGCCUACAGUCACAAAUCCAUUAAAUGUCAGGACAGGAUUUCAACCAUACUUCUCGUGAAUUCCAACCCAAUGUUCUUGCCACUAUGACAUGCUCCCUCAGCAAGUGGGCAUUUUAUUUUCUUCCUUCCUUUUUUGGGGUAGUUCAGCAAUUGAGAAAAGGCAAAACAUGUUGACUCCUGUCUUUACUCAUAUCUAUGCCCUUGGUGUUCUGCUAAGUAGUGAGAAACCAGGCCACUCUUAACACCUCACCAUCUGGGAAAUCAAAAAGGGCUUCUCACAAAGAGAGUUUGAAAAAACUGUUUUUGUGCAUUCCCCCCAAAACAGAAGUCUGUUCAUUUCAUGUCUAAGUACUAUGUCUUCUUUGCCUUCAACUCUGAGAUUGCAUGAUUCUGUGAAGCUGGAAAGCAGCCAGACCUAAAACCAAGGCAGUUUCAGGUGGAGGGGAGGGGGACUCCCCAGUACAGAGGAGAGUCCCCUGUGGCUAAAGUUGUGUCAGGAGUGUUUGGUCCACCACUCAGAAGUUCCUGGCUCUCACCCUCCCAGGAAGUACAGAGCCCCAGGAGAGGGGCAACACAAAACCCUGGGGUGGGUCCAGGGGGGAAAGAUGUGACACGUUUGCACCCAUAAGUCUGGAAACCACAAGGUAUAGUAUAGGGAUGAUGGGAGCCACAAGAAGGAAAUGCAUUCUCUAGGCAGAAAACACUUCACCCACCAAAUAUCAGCACCCUGGACAAAGCUCUCUUUGCCUUGAACAAGUUGCAAUUCUGGGUAUCAAUGUAUAUUGUAUUUCCAAACUUAUUUCUAUCACUAUUUCAGAAACCUUAAACUGUUCCCUUUUUCAAACAACUAAACAAAGGAAUUGAGGUUUCAUGGAGGACAAAGUAGAAAAAUCCCAGUUCCAUUAAGGCUACUAAUUUAAUAGAACACGCUUUUCUCUUAGAAUUCUUUAGCAGAUCACAGGGAUUAAGUGUGUGCAUGCAUGUGCAAUCCUGUUAAUAACCCGCCCUAGGAGAAUGAUGGAACAUAUGGCUCCCUUCAUGCUAAUGACUUGGGUCUUGCUCUUUGCAAGGAACAGGUGUCACCAAACAGACAUUAAGGGGAACUUGAACAGAAAUGGCCACCUCAAAGAUUAAGGAAGUUCAUUUCAAAUCCUAUCAAGUGGAAACAGUUUCAGUUCUUCAAAUGUGUGAAUGAAUGAAUAAAAACACUUG
Phascolarctos cinereus (koala) is the source of this 2325-nucleotide non-coding RNA. The record is from RefSeq and is a predicted model, not a curated record. Lineage: Eukaryota; Metazoa; Chordata; Mammalia; Diprotodontia; Phascolarctidae.